GUUGUAUAAAAUGUAAUUUUGUAUAGUAAAUAAUAAAAAUAUUAUAUCUUUAAAAAACCUCAUUUAUUACACGGGUUGAAUGAAUCUAACAAAAAAUUAUAUCUUUAAAAAAACUAACGGAUAUACUCGAUAUAUGAUGGAUUGAGUGAUUGCGGUGAUGGUUCUUAUAAAUGUCACAGUUGAACACGAAAAUAAAAGUAUAGAACCAAUAAACAUUGAUUAAUGUUUUUUUUACCCCUUAUAAACAUUUUUCAAAAUAGGUUCUACCUUAAAUAAAUCAUUUACAUUAUAUUAAUUUAUAUU
Molecule: long non-coding RNA, 303 nt
Filed under: Helianthus annuus (common sunflower)
Lineage: Eukaryota; Viridiplantae; Streptophyta; Magnoliopsida; Asterales; Asteraceae
Description: hypothetical non coding rna
Source: RNAcentral